This 839-nucleotide long non-coding RNA is filed under the name Spirodela polyrhiza (greater duckweed). RNAcentral's name for it is "long non-coding RNA (SPOL_LNC002108)". The record is from RNAcentral. Lineage: Eukaryota; Viridiplantae; Streptophyta; Magnoliopsida; Alismatales; Araceae.
AGGCGGUGCCGAGCAUCGAGAUGGUCCGGUUCGUGAACUCCGGCACCGAAGCCUGCAUGGGAGCGAUCCGCCUUGCCCGGGCCUUCACCGGCCGGCAGAAGAUCAUCAAAUUCGAGGGCUGCUACCACGGCCACGCGGAUUCCUUCCUCGUCAAAGCCGGCAGCGGGGUCGCCACCCUCGGCCUCCCCGACUCCCCCGGCGUCCCCAAGGCCGCCACCUCGGAGACGCUCACCUCCCCAUUCAACGACCUCGAGACGGUGAAGAGCCUCUUCGAAGCGCACCAGGGGGAGAUCGCCGCCGUGAUCCUAGAGGCGGUGGUGGGGAACGCCGGCUUCAUCACCCCAAAUCCCGACUUCCUGAGCUCCCUCCGGGAGAUCACCCGAGAGCACGGUUCUCUCCUCAUCUUUGACGAGGUGAUGACCGGAUUCCGCCUGGCCUACGGCGGCGCGCAGGAGUACUUCGCGGCGAAACCGGACCUGACGACGCUGGGGAAGAUCAUCGGCGGAGGCCUUCCCGUCGGCGCCUACGGCGGCAGGAGGGACAUCAUGGAGAUGGUGGCUCCGGCGGGACCCAUGUACCAAGCCGGCACCCUGAGCGGGAACCCCUUGGCCAUGACGGCGGGGAUCCACACUCUGCGCCGCCUGAAGAGCCCCGGGUGCUACGAGUACCUGGACAAGAUAACCGGCGACCUCGUCAACGGGCUUUUGGAAGCCGGCAGAGACGCGGGCCACGAGAUCUGCGGCGGGUUCAUCCGCGGAAUGUUCGGCUUCUUCUUCACCGAGGGGCCCGUCCACAACUUCGAGGACGCGAAGAAGAGCGACACAGCCAAGUUCGGACGG